AACGAACGCUGGCGGCGUGCUUAACACAUGCAAGUCGGGCGAGAACCAGGCCUUCGGGUCUGGGGAAAGCGGCGAACGGGUGAGUAACACGUGAGUAACCUGCCCUCGGCACCGGGAUAGCCCGGGGAAACCCGGAUUAAUACCGGAUGGCCAUUCGAGCUCUCGGGCGCGAAUGAAAAGGUAGCUUCGGCCUCUGGCCGAGGAUGGGCUCGCGGCGGAUUAGCUUGUUGGUGGGGUAAUGGCCCACCAAGGCGACGAUCCGUAGCUGGUCUGAGAGGACGAUCAGCCACACUGGGACUGAGACACGGCCCAGACUCCUACGGGAGGCAGCAGUGGGGAAUCUUGCGCAAUGGGCGAAAGCCUGACGCAGCGACGCCGCGUGCGGGAAGAAGGCCUUCGGGUUGUAAACCGCUUUCAGGAGGGACGAAGCCCCUCGGGUGAAUAGCCCAGAGGGUGACGGUACCUCCAGAAGAAGCCCCGGCUAACUACGUGCCAGCCGCCGCUGUAA
This 508-nucleotide ribosomal RNA is filed under the name uncultured bacterium. RNAcentral describes it as "partial 16S ribosomal RNA". It matches the Rfam family "Bacterial small subunit ribosomal RNA", at positions 28 to 523 of the family's 1533-position model. The record is from RNAcentral.